AGGUGAACAUGCGGAAGGAU
Molecule: ribosomal RNA, 20 nt
Filed under: Cyamopsis tetragonoloba (guar)
Lineage: Eukaryota; Viridiplantae; Streptophyta; Magnoliopsida; Fabales; Fabaceae
Description: partial 18S ribosomal RNA
Source: RNAcentral